AAUCUUUUCCUUGGCACACAACCUCCCCUUCUUCCUCACUCUUUAAUGGUUCCUCGCUUUUAGUUGGUUCUUCAGGAUUGGUUAUUAUUGCCCCAAAUAUAGAAGCUUCCUCCUCCUUCGGGUUCACCUGCUGCUGAUCCUUAGGUUCCACUGUGGCUGGCACAUUCUGCUGAUCACCCAUUGUUUUCUCAUCGGAUGAUUCUGUAUCAUUUUGCAACUUAUGAAUAAUCGUGUUGCUGUCAAAUUUCAAAAUGUAGGCCUGAUUGCAUCCCUCAUAGAGCCUCUCUCCUAAUGUGUCGAUAAUGUAGUAAGCUUUCGGUUCAACCUUUAGAAUGAAAAAAUGGUCGUUCCAACUUACAACAUACACCUGAGGUUCAUCAUCGCUUGGACAUUCCAAUCCAGUGCGGCUUAUCUCAUCCCAAAUGUUAUCGAAGGACAUGGCACCUUGCAAAAAGUCAAAUCUUCCCUCAUCCAUCCCUUCUGGAUGGAAAAACCCGAUAAAGGACUUGCCAGGGAGUACAGAGAGAAAACGUAUCUUGGCUUGGAGAACUGUUUCAAGGUCGAAGUGUUUGUCAGGGAACCGCUCCCUGUAGGUUUCAUUCUCACAGAGGUUUCUCCAUUCCAAGGACCCUUCUCUGAUGAGACUAUCAAACUGGGACUUAAUGGGCAUCAGACCACGGUUAUUCUGAAACCAAUCAGCAAUAACAGCAACAAGGGCUGUACAUGCACUUUCACCUGCAGCCCGCUCACUUCGCUGAUCAAUGGAAGCAAAGAAAACCUCAGUUUGAAGCUUCAUCUGCCCAUCACGGCUUAUCACUUCUUUUUUCUCCCAACUGCCUAUGGCAAAAUUGUCAUCACCAAAUUCAGAAACUGAUGAUCGAUUUGCAGAUGUAUCCUCGUCUGCCUUAUGCCACUGCAAAACAGCAACCAUUGUUUCAAUUAACCAUGUCUAAUUUAUGAAAUGAAUUAGUCAUCACAAAACCACCUUUACCAUCCUUCAAGAUGAUCAUCAGUAUUUUCAUUUUUGUACUUUUAAUACUGCUAAAUUGGAAAUAAAAAGCUUUAUAAAAGCAUGAAAGUAAGGGAAAUCAAUAGAUGACUUACCCCAAGAGCAAGAGAUUCAUCAGAGCUAAGCUGCCGGCGAUCAAAAUCAAUAUCAUCCCCCCCUUCUUCUCCAUAUGCCUUCUUCAACAACGGCUCUCCUUUAGCUUUAGGAGACCUAAAGCUCAACUUCCUCUUCCUCCAAGGUAAUAUGCUGCGCUUAGAACUUUGCAAGAGAGAUGGUGCAGACACUGAUGGUGUAUAAUCAUCACUAUGUGAGCAACCCACAUCUGACUUGCGAUUGCUGUAGUAAACCCAAUCUUCAUCUUCAUCAUUUAUCAUUGUACUAGAGUGAAAGGGUCCUCCAGCAUAGUUUGCAGAAGCCAGCGUGCCAUAACUAAAUGACUUCCUCACAGUAGAAUCUUCCUUGAUCUCAUCAGACUCUCCUUCCUCCAAAUCAUCGAGUGACUCAGAAUCAAAUGGAUAGUUAUCCUCACCAUCCUCGCUCCUGGCAGAGCACCUGCCUUCACUGCCCUCUUCCUCGCGACAGGCCUUUUUUGCUCUCCUGGUAGACACAUAUCCUGUAAAAAUCUUUACCUUUCUGAGACCAGCUUUAAGUGCAGAAAGCUCAUCCUUUUCAGUUGAGACAGCUUCUCCAGAUUGAGGUGGCGAUGGAACUGGUACUAUGGCUCUCUGUAAUGGCUCAGAGGUCUCGGUAGCAGUUCUCAACUCCAAUAAGCUGAGCGAUACCUGCAUGAUUCAUACAAGCUGAGGUAAGAAACUAUAAAAAUUGUGAAAAUAUUAAAACCGGAAAAGGCAGAUUUAAAAAUGUUGCGGGAUAAUUUUAAAAAACCAGUGAGAAUGUGAUGGAAAUUGGAAGAAAUUCAAAGGCACAUACACAGAGCAAGGGUUGAGGCUCAGCCACACCAGCAGAGACCACAAGAGGAAGUCUUAACUCAAACUCUUUCUGUUCAGCUGCAGAUGCAAAUUCGGCAAGGUUCACUGUUGCUGUUCCAACAGCAGGAACCUUGUUCUUCUGCCCUUGGUUCCCACCCUGGAUCAGAAAACAAAACAGCUAAGUUCCCCAGAAAGUUAACAAGUUUAAAAACGCAAAACUAUCAGCCAAAAAAACCUCAAAGAUAUCCAAAAGACCCAAGCUUUGUCGAGUCAAAAUGAUAAGAGAAAAAAUACUCCAUUAAAUCCAACCACCAAAUCCCCAAAAAUCAAUUAAGAAUCCUUUGUUCCCCCAAAUUGACUACCACAAUAACCCACAAAACAAAAAAAAUAAAGAACACCCCUUCAUAUGCUUAUAUUCUUCAAUUAAGAAACCUCUUCAUCUCAAUUACAAGCAACCCGUAAACUAUCAGUAACCAAAUACCAAAAAUGAAAUUUUAAAUUCAUCCCUGAAUUUAAAAAAAAAAUCAUAUCUCAAGUUUCAUAAACGCUAUCAGUUUCACAGUCCACAUGAAUUUUCCUAGAUUCUACAGCCCAAAAUUUUUCUUUUUCUAUUUCAACAGACAAGAAGACAAAAUCCCACUUGAUAAAUGACAAUAACACAAAAGACCCAUAAAACAUCUUGAGAAGAAAAAUAAAUUUAUUUGGAGAGAGAAGCAAAAAAGAAAAGAAGAACUCACAUUGAAGACAGUGAAAGAGAUCUCCCAAGGAUGAAACACAUUUUCUUUAUAAGCAGACAAAGUACACAAACUCUCGAACUCCUCAUCCCACUCCACCAAAACGCCACCGUUUUCCCCCUCCGCACCACAAACCUCCACUUCUUUCGUAAAAUUCCUCUUCACCGCCGUCCUCCUCAGCGAGCUCAAGGCCAAUUUGGGUCCUUUCCACCUAAUCUCCACCGUCAAUUUCUCCGACUUAUCCUUCAAAUCACCUCCUGAAGAUGUCCCAGGCGCAGCAGCUACAGCUUCCCGCACUACAUCCCAACCCUCCAUCCUUCGAACAACGAGCCUCACCUCGUACUUCUUCGAAACCAGCGGUGGCCAUGGCCGCCACCUCAUCAUUUUGACCACCAUUCCUCACAACAGAACAAAAGAAAACUAAAACCUCCUAAUUAUUGUGAAAAUAUUCAAAAACAAAAACAGAGAGGGUUUGUUUUCUCUAUAAACUGGACAUAAUUUAGUCAAUGAAUAUGAAUGUAAGAAGCAAAAUCAGAUAUGCAAGGGAGAAAAAGAUGGAAUACGCCUUUGUGGAUUUUUAGUUUUACAGCGAAGAGGGUUUUUUUUUUCUUUCUUUUAUUUCUCUCUUUAUUUAUCACGAGCACAGAAGAUGGAAAAAACAGGGAACGAUGUGAGAGACAGAAGGGACAGAGAGAGAGUUAUAUUUGAGAGAGAGAGAGAGAGAGAGAGUUAAGUUAACUAUGGUUAAAGUAUGGGAGUUAGGGUGAAGGAUGGUACUGGGAAGGGAAGGGAUGCAUCCCGCAUGUAACGGCGUUCUUUUGUUGACAAGGAAGGAGUUGACUUAGCUCCCUAUUUUUAUUUUGUUUUUUUCUUUUUCUUUUUAUUUAUUUGUGUUUAAUAGUCUUUGUUUGUUUGAUGUUUCUUUUUUUUUUUUUGGAUAAACAUGUGAAUUUUUUUGAUAUGUUUUAUGCGCUAAGUUGAAAUAUUUUUAUAAAAUUAUUUUAAAUAAAAAGAAUUACAUUAAAAUGAUUUUUAGUUGAGAGGGAGUUUUUUAUGUUGUUAUUAUCAUCUUGUGAAAAUAUUAAGAAUCAUUUGUUAGGGUUUAAUUAUAUUUUAAAAAUGUUUAAAUUUUAUUUGUUUUAAAUUAAUUUUUUUAAUAUUUUUAAUUGUUUUAAUGUGAUGAUAUCAAAAAUAAAUUUUAAAAAAUUAAAAAAUAUAUUAUAUUAAUAUAUUUUCAAGUAAUUUGUAAAAUAAUUGUUACUAUAAUUUAUUAUUUAAGCAUGUAAAGGAGCAUGCAUGCACGAGUAUGUUAAGAUAAAUAUUAUGGGACUUAAUUGAUUUAUAAAAUCUAUAAAAAGAAACUAAGAAAACAAAAUAUUAACAUCAAAUAUGAUUUCAUUAUGCAUUGAAAAUAUAAAAUACUGUUUCCUGUUAAAUUUGAACUCCAAUGCUGGCAAGGGAAAGAGGGAGUCUUUUUAACGCUUUUAAAUGUACUGACAAAAACAUCAUUAUAUUUUUGUUUUAUUAUUAUUGAUUUGCAGUCUUUGAAUGAAUUAGUUUACUCAUAGCUCAAUUAAUUUUUAUAAAUUUUAAAAUUAAUAAUUAAAUAAAUUUUUAAUAAUCAUUAAUAUUAAAAAUUACAAAACUUGAAUUUAAAAUCACAAUAAAAACAAAUUUUAAUUUUAUGUUUUUAACACUAAACCACUUACUAAAUAGUUUUAUUAUCAAAAACACCAUUAAACCAUGAAAUGCUGGCGUGAUUGGUCUGUAAUAAUAAUAAUAAUUUAUUUACAUGGAAUUAUAAUUGGAGUUUCCAAAUCUGUGGUUUUAUUCGAGGAUAAAUUGCUUACGUGAUGAUGUAAGGUUUUUCAAAUCAUGAUAUAUAUAUAUAUAUAUAUAUAUAUAUAUUAUCACGUUAGGUAAUACAAUAAUAAUUAUAGUGUAUAUUAACUAAUAAAUCAUCAAUCAUAUUUUGUCACAUCGUUACAAUCUUAAUAAAAAAUAAGUGUUUCUAAUAUUAUCCUUAUUACAAUAUAUUACCAUACACACAUCUAAAUUACAUGUCUAAAGUACGACCAUACAAGUGUGUCAUUAUGUUGUAUGAAAAAACAUGGUUUUACAAAAUAGCACUAUUUAUGAGAAAUAGAUUUUAAGAAAUAGAUCACACAUUAAUCUACAUGGAAUUUCAAGAUUUUUCAAAUAUUUACUGGCACGUGUGGUAAAUAUUUUCAUUAAUAUCACCAUAUGAAAAUUAAUUAUUUCUUUAACAGCCACAUGGUUAUGUUCAGUGUGUGCAUUUUAAUAAAGGAAAAAUUAAAAGACAUAUUUUUUUAUUGUUCACCAAGAAUAUGGAUAGAGCAAGUUAAUUUUACCCUUGCUAGAAAAACUAAUUAAGCAUGAAAUUGGAGAUAGAAAUGUAUUUUUCAUGGAAUAUAUUCGGCAUUGCAUAUUUGAAAAUGAUACGUGAGUUUCUUUUUAUUACAAUACAAAUUUUUUUUUGCCUUUAAAAACACAAAAAAAUAAUCCUUAAGUUAUGGGUUCUUCUAUCUUUUUAAAUAAUAAUAAAAAAAAAACAAUAUAUUCUAGUGAGAGAGAAAAAAUAUGAAUGCACAGAAUAACAAAAUUACUCUUGGAAUUUGAAAAAUCAAAAGCUAACUAUAGGGUCUUUUGGUCCUUUUAAACUGGUUAUUUUUGUGAUUCUUAGAUUUUGAUAGGGUACCUUAAUAAUUUUAGAUUGAAAUGAUUUUAAAAAAAUUGUGGACUUCUGCAUAGCAUAUAAUAACCUCCAUACUGUUCAAGUGGCAUGUGAGAGCUAUAGAAAAAAAAUAUACAUGUAUCGAAUGGCAAAAUUAGCCUUGAAAUAUUUUUUAUCUGAUUGCUUUCUUUCUAUCCUUCAUUCUUUUCUUAAUUGUUUUUUUCUUUUAAUUCAAUCUCUUUCCAUUUUGGCAGGUAACACCAUUUCUCUGAUAGAAGAUAUCCAUCCAUUUUAUAUUUUUAAGAAGAGGCUCUAUCUUUGGAGGUUUAUAAAAAUUAAUUAAUUUACACAGGUCCAAUCCUGUCGAAACCAAGUUAUUAUUUAUGUUAAAACUAGGGGCCAUGUUAAGAAUUUUACUUCUUUUUUAAUUGUUUAAUAUGAAGUUUGAAUCUUAAUGAUUAAGAUAAUAAUAUUUUCUUUAACCACCAUUCUUCCGCCAAAACCUAGAAUUUAGUUGAGCAAACAAAAUGCUUACUUUGGUAACAAUCUAACAAUAUCAUUUUCGUCACUUGCCAACCAGAUUUGUUUUUAUUUUCUGGUUCUUAAAAGGGGAUUUUUCCUCCAAACAUUUCCACCUUUCCUAGCUCCUACCAUGUUUCUAUUAUUAUUAUUAUUAUUAUUAUUUAGGGUAAACUUCUAUUUGUCCCAAUAGAUUCAUUAAUCUUCCAACUCUCCACUCCUAGUUUAAAAUUUUCCCUUGGUUUCUUUUUAUUCUCCAUUGAGUUCUCGUUUGGAAACGUGGUAUAAAUCAUUCUUUAAAUUUUAAUUUUUUUAUAUUUAAAAUGAUUUUUUUUGUAUUUUUAUAUUAAAAAUAAUUUUUAAAAAUCUAAAAAAAAUUAUUUUGAUGCAUUUUCAAGCGAAAAACUCUUUGAAUCGUUACCACUAUCAUAACCUCAAACAUACCCUAAUUCUCAUGUCACUCUUAACCAUUAAAAUGUAAAUUCCACAAUUAUUUAUUUGAGUUAUGUUUGAAGAUGUUUUCAAUUUUUCCAAUUAGAACCAAAGUCCUAAUAUAUAUACACACACAUACACUAAUCUUUUUUUUCUUCUGUUUUCUUCACCUUUCAAUAUGAGUUUUCUAAUAGCUAAACACCGAAGUCAUCUACAAUCGAGGCCAUUUUCAUCAGAAAAAUCUAUAUCAGAUAGUUAAGACUCUGAAUUUGAGUAAAAAUAAUUAAACAGAGAAGGGCAAUAUCUAAAACCCCAGAAAAAAAAUCAAUAGGAAGUGUAAAAAAUAUAGAGCAAGAGUGUUAAUUGAAGCCGAAAGUCCGAUUUAUAAGAUCCUACAAUCUGAACACUAGCAUAUUCAAGUACAGUAAAUAAAAUACAACUAUCAAAUGUUUCCACUUGCUGGUGGGUGGUGGGUGGUGGGUGCUAUUAAUAUUGACACAUGCCCAGACAUGCACUAUAAAUCAUAUAUCUAUGCACCUUAUCAAUUCAACACGAUAAAAACUAGUAUAUAUUUUUUUUUUCCUUACAAAAACAUAAGGGAAAUUCGUUAUAGAGAACAAAAACCUUGUUACCCCAAUAUAGACAUGUAAGGCAGGUGGUCGAACGGUGCUUUUGAAAUUCUUUAAAAUUUUAUGUAAUUUAGUUUUAAACAUUAAUAUUUUUUUAAGUUUUUGAAUUAUUUUAAUUUGUUGAUAUAUAAAAUAAAUUUUAAAAAUUAAAAAAAUAUUUUUAUAAAAUAUUUUUUUAAAAAAAUUAUAAUUUCAGAGCCUUAGGAGGACACUAUUUGCACGGUGUAAGCAUUAAUUUCGUCGAGGUACCCAAAACUUGGUUGGGAAUAAAUUUUAUUUUUUUGAGUUUACUCCAAGAAAUCUCUUUUUUAUUACGGUGAGUUCUAGAAGUACGAGAUGACUCUCCAUUUUGAGUGAUUACUUAUGUCGUAUGUUUCCAUCAUUUUGAAGAUUACCCCUAGGCUUCGUGAUACAUCAAAGUACAAUCGAGUGAAUAAACGCUUAUCCUUGAAGGGAAAACAAAAAAGAGUUAUGGAGUUAGACGGUACAAGCAUGAAUUUCAUCUUCACAAAAAUAAAAAUAAAAAACAUAUUUAUCACUUGAUAGCUUAGCUAUAAUUGCUCAUUCGUCUUCUGUUGGUGGAAAAAUUGUAGCGUUUUUCUUUAUACAGAAAAGGGAAAUGGAAAGAGAACUGAAAAAACUGCAAGAACAUUUUUCAAAAGUACUAAUCCAUCAUCUAGAAAAUUCUGCAAUACAGAUCCUUCAAAUGGUAAUUAAUUUGAUUCACAAUUAUAUAUAAAUUAUAUUUUAAAACAUUUCCUAGUACCUUAAAUUUUUAAAUUGAUAUGAUUCUUUAAUCAUUUUGUUAACUAAACAGUUACGAAUUUAAAUCUCAUUAUCUCAUUCUAUUUAUUAAAAAUUAAACACAAUAUAAUAUGAACAUGCAUAAAUUUCAAAUUCAAAAAACUUUUAUUUAAAGAGGUAUAUUAAAAAAUUAUAUAAGUCAUAUCUCGAGGCAUCAUCGGCUUAAGCUUUCUAGUUAAAAUAAUUUUUUAACAAGUUCUUCAUGAAAUUAAAAAAUAAAGAAGAAGAUUUCGUCUUUGGAGGGAAAAAUUGAAAAAUAACAAAAAAAAUUAAAUAAUCUCACCUAACAUCUUGAAUUAUUAAAUUAAAAUAGUUAAAACACAAACACAUGCAUUCAUUUAGUGAUUACAACACACACACACAACUCUAAAGUGAAUACAAAAUUAUAAAUGAAAUAUUUUAAAAUAUCUAAGAAAUAUUUUAUUAGGGUCUUAAGCAAUCUUCAUUUUGUAUUUUGAUUCUUUUAUUAAGUAGGGGAAAUUUUCAUAAAACAUAAUUAAUAAAUAUACUUACUUAAAAAAAAAUUUGUUAAUUGAAGGUCUUUAGCUAUCAUUCAAGUUGUAUAUAUGUUCUGGCCGGCUGUAUUAUACCCUGAAAAGAGGGGGGGGUGGAAUUCACACCUAAAAUAGCAAGAAGAAGAAGCAGAAUCCUAGCUACAUUAUGCCUCGAAGUAAUCGCUUAUUAUAUAUGAUAAUUAUGGCUUAAGUUGCUUCAGGAUCGCAUCGACUUAGUUUUCUCAAUUGAUUAGAAAACACAUUGACCAAAGAAAAGAGAAGAAAAUCACGCGUUUUUGUAAAUAUUUUUAAUUGUUUCUUUGGUAAGUCGAGGGAGGAAUCACAUCAUUCAUUAGAAUCGUCCAAGAAAACCAAGCAAAGUCUAGCACAGUAGCCCUCUCUUUCCUCUUCCCUGUUUUAGGUGGUUAGGUUCCUUGUGCUUCAGUGACUGCUGGUCUGGUUAGGUGAUCCGAUCUGACUCCGAUAAUUAGGUCAACUUUUAAAUAUUAACUGACCCUACAAGCUCUGUUUCAUCUUCAACGGAUCUUUGACCUGCUGCAUGUGCACCACGCGUGGGUGGGUUCUUGCUUACAAGAGUGAGUAGGGAUCAUAGACUUUUUGGAACGUGAGGUUUCCAUGGGAAGGGUAUGGAUAUAUACUCUCAUAGAAGCUAAGAUUUUCCUUCGGGUGAGGGCGACCCCCUGCAUUUAAUAUGCCUUUACACCUUGCCUUUGUUAAUUUGUUGAAGUUUUUGGAGCCUUGGAAUAUGGGAAACGAUUUAGCUGUAAGGCAUCUCAAAGACAUAUAUAUAUAUAUAUAUUAAUUUAGCUUUUCAAUCCUUGUUUUACAUGUUACAAGAGAAAUGCUAAACAAAAUCUUAAAAUAUAGUUUUGUUGCAAGAAUGUUAUUUCUACUUCUCUAUAAAAAAUUACAAAAUUUUUAUAAAAUAUUAUUUAUUAUAAGUUUAACAAAUUCACUAGAAUUAAUUAAAAUUGAUUUUUUUUUAAUUUAAUCAUUUAAUAUUAGGUUGAUUAAGAAUUAUUGGUGUUAUUUUUAGACCUAUUAAGUCAAUUGGUCAUAUAUAAUUAUUAAAAUAAUUAUUUAUUAAAUAUAUGUAAACCAUUUAAAAAACCAUAUUAUUAAUUUAACUCUACUAGCAUAGAGCAUUGAGAUGCUUUAAAAAUCUAUAUUAUUAAUUUAACCUCUACUAGCAUAGAGCAUUGAGAUGCUCUCAGGGUCAAGAUGCCAAUUAUCCAAACCUCAUUCAAAGUGAUUCUUACGAUCACCGAUAUCAUUUGCUUAAUUACUACGUACCUUAACGUUGGAUUUGUACUUUAUUGACGCGGUAGUAGCUAGACUAGUAAUUGAAUAUAAUUAAAUUGCUUUCUAAACUUUUUACAUUUAUUUUAUCAGGAUUCUAAACUUUUAACAUUUUUUUUUAUAACAUAUAUGACUUUCAAGGAUCUGUUUUUUCGGUUUAUUAAUGUACAUUAAAGAGAACUAAAACCUUUUAGGAAAGUAUAUAGAUCUAAAUUCAUUGUAGUUAUUUAUUAAAAUAAUGUAAUUAUAAUGAUUUUCUUACCUUUCUAUUCAAAAAACUUAAAACAUGCUUAUAAGGGUAUUAAAGUCUUUUUAUAUGGUUCAUUUUCCCUUUCUUUUUUCUUGAAAAUUACUCUAUUGGUUGUUUGUAUUUAAAUUUCAAUCCUUGUUUAUGUUAAUUUAUAAUUGUUGGUCUUGGUUUUUUUUUAAAAAAAAAAAAUAUAUUUUUUAAUUUUAUUAUUUAAUUUUAAUUUUUAAAUAUUAUAUUCUCAAAUAUGGUCAUUAUUAUUUGAAUUUUUAAUUUUUAUCUUUGAUUCUUUUGUAAAAAAUUUAGUAAUUUUUAAUUUUAUCAUUUAAUUCAGAUUGAUUGUAUUAUGUUUUUUAAUUUGAUUCUAUUUGUUUUGAUUUUUAAUUUUUUUUCUUGAUUUUUUUGUAAUUUUUUUUAAUUUCACCUAUUAAUUACAAUAUUAAUUUUAUUUUUCUAUUUGUUUUUAAUUUAUUUACAUUAUUAUUUUUAUUUUAUUUCAACACUUGAAUAUUAUUUUUAGUAAAAAAUAAAAUAAAAUAAAGAAUACAACCCGUAGCGAAUGAUGGAGACCAAGGCUAGUCUAAUCUAUAGGUAUUUACGGGUUUUUUAUUAUUGUGUUUUGUAAACUAUAAACGUCAGAUAAGUUAAUUAUAAUUCGGAAUAUAUUUAAUUGAAUAGCAGAUUUGGGUCAAAGAAAGUGUAUGAUACUUGUUAUCUGGUAAGGAGAUGAAGAGAGGGGAAAUGAGUACACUAUAAAUUUAUAAAUUUAAGUGACUGUUUGAGAGUAUAGUUAAAAUUGUUUUUUAAAUUAUUUUUUGUGCUGAAUUAGUUAAGUUGUGUAUGUUUCAUCGCAUGUCUGUUAAAAAAAAAUUCAAUGUGGAGGCAUUUCUAACAUAUUUUUUUUACAUGAAAAAAUAAUUUCAGAUAAAAAGUCAAUAUAUAUAUAUAUAUGUUUAAUUAAAUAGAUAGAGGAUUAUAUAUGUAAAUAAAUGAAAAAAAAAUUGUUAAUAUUAAUUAAAAAAUAAAUUAGAAAAUUAAAAUAAAAAUAAAAAUAAAAAUGUUUAAUCUCUCAACACAGUUAAUUAACUCUAUUUGUAUUUAAUAGCUUUGGUUUUUAGAAUCAAGUUUUUAUUUAGUAAAACAAUAAUUAAAUUAGAUAUGUUAAAAAAACAUUGAAUAAAAUUAAAGAAAAAAGAUUAGGUAGGGAUGCACUAUAAGAAUAUCUACUAAAUAAAUAUUAUUGUCUUAUUUGAACUAGGUCAAAACCAAAUAAUAUUUUAUUAAAAAAAUACCACAAAAAAUUAAAUUUAUCUAUUUUAAUUAAUCUCAAUUAAAAUUUAAAACCUCUCAAGGUCAGGGAUCCAACUAGUUUAGUUAUUUUCAAUUUAAAUCAAAGAACAAAAAAAUCAAAUCAAAUUUACUUAAAAAAAGCCACAUGCUUGGUAUUUUUUUAAUACCUCAAAUAAUUGUUUUUUAAUCGAAUGAAACCCAUCAAUUUCUUUGAUUGCUGGAAUGUGGAAAAAUAAAUGAAUUUCUCUCUCCUAUACUAUUAUUCAAAGACUCUCUUUCAUUUGAAAAUCAGGGGGCUACAACAUAAACAGAAUGAGUAGUUAUACCAAAAUAUAUAAUUGUCAAACUCAAAGGACCGAAAGAGAAUUUUAUCAAGAAACUAAAACACAAAAUCUUUUUAAAAAAUGCUGAUACAUACAAUGUUGCUAAAGAGAGAACCCUUAAUUUUAUUCUCAAUGUCAAUCUCAGUCCCUUUCAUUCUAAUUUUAUGAUAACAAAAUAAAUAAAAUAUUUUUCAUUAAAUUGAGCAUCGAAACAAUGUCAUGAUAUGUUUUUGACACGAUAAGGAAGUGUACUUUAAUUGUUUUAUUGAUAUUUGAAUAUUUAAAUUUAGGUUAGUGAUGCAAAUAAAUAAAAUUUUUGAUGUUAUUUAUUUUUAGCUCAUAGGUUAACUUUGAGCUUGAAUUUACAUCUUUAAAUAAAUUUACCCCAUAUGAUCUUAAAGUUCAUAACAUGCUCUUUUAAAACUAUCCAAUCAUGUUCAUUAGAGUUGUGUACAAUGAGUUAUGAUUGUUUUUAUUUGAAUAUCACAUAAAUUUUGGAUAAAAUAUUUGCAAGUUUGAAUAUAUUCUAUAUAUCACUUACUUGUAUUAUUUAUUUUGAUUAAAUUACAAACAUAAAUAUAGAAGUGGAUGAACACAAAUAAUGAUCAGAGUUUCAUGUAAUUAAUUACUUAUUUAAAUUGGUUAGUAGUUCAAUUUUAAUAAUCAAUAAUUACAAUGGAUAGAAUUCCACGUCUUAAGAAUCGACAUCACCACUAACCAUUAACUUAAAAGAAAUUACUCAUUACAUCAACAAACAUUAUCAAAUUGUUACGUUGCUUAUCAGCUACUAAAUUAUAAACAUGAUUUUUGGUAUUCUGUAAAGCAAAAUCAUGUCAUUUAACCUUUGCCAAAAAUCAUGUCAUUUAACCUUUGCCAAAAAGCAUGUCAUUUAACUUUUAGUGCCAGAAUCUUGCUAAUGACACCACACAAACAUGAAGUAACUAUCGUGAUUGGCAAAAUUUUGUAUUUUUUAAAAUUAUUUUUAUUUAUUUUUGAAUUGUUUUAAUGUAUUAAUAAUCUAUUUGAUUUUUUUAAAAAAUAUUACUUUAAUAUAUUAUUAGCUUAUAUCUCUUCUCUCUUUUUUAGGAACCACGUGAAUUAAUUGACAUAGUUGUGAAAAAUAUCUCUACGCAACUGCUUUCAGUAUUGGAUCUCAAGUUGAUUAGUUUGUUUGGAAAUAUAAUUAUAAUUAAUAAAAAUAUUUUUAAAAAACAACGAAUCAAUCGCUCAUAUCUCUUCUCUCCUGUAGAAACCAACCAUUCUCACGUGAAUUAAUUGACGCUGUUGGGAAAAAAAUCUCUAUGCAAUUGCCUUCAGUUUUGGAUUUCUAGCUAAUUAGCCUGUUUUUUUUUUUUUAAAAAAAAUAAUUUUUUAUAUCAGUAUAUUAAAAUAAUUUAAAAUAAAAAAAUAAAAAAAUAAAAAAAUUUCAAUUUUUUUCAAAAAUAUUUAUUUUAAUAAACAGCACCCUUCUCUCUCUCUCUCUCAAUUUGCUUUUCUUGUCUUCAUAUAUACAUCUAGUGGAAAGGGGGAAAUGAACCAAAAAUAAAAAUCAGUGAAGGACUCUCCUUUAACAGUCAAAAAGAGCACGCAGACACUACUUGAGUUUUAUCGCCACCUCACCACUGUGCCAUUUCAUAUGGACUCUUAAUUUUGAAUUGACACGUGUCAUCGGUGCCAAAUGAAACCGUUGAGUUGCCAGAUCCCUCGGUUCUAGUUAAAUGUACAUGUCAUCGUCAUUAUUUUUUUUAAAAUGAAAUUAUUAAUGAGAGUUGAAUAAAAAAUCUUUUAAAUUGAAUGAAUUUUCUUCUCUCUUGAAAAUAACUUUAUAAACUAUUGAAUUUAAAUAAAAUAACAAGGAAAUAUAUGAAUCUCGAAUCCAACGUAACAUCCAUUUUAGCACACGUUUGUAAUAUCUGUUGAAAAAACAAACAAAAAAUACAAGGCUUUGAGAGGAGAGCGGUCAAUUUUUUUAAAAUAAAUUUAUUUUAAAUUAUUUUUUUAGCUUUUUAAAUUAUUUUAAUAUAUUAAUAUUAAAAUAAAUUUUAAAAACUAAAAAAAUAUUAUUUUAAUAUAUUUUUUAAAAAUAAUAUCUAACGGAUUCUCUAACACCAUGAACUAGAAAAAGUAAAAAGGUGCAAGAUGGGUUUGCCAGCGAGAAAGCAACCAGUUGACAAUUACGUUUGAAAAUGAGCAGUUGCCCAAUGGUACAUCGCCACGUUCCAGGUUCUACACUGUUCCGUGAUCUCAUCACGCAGGAAAAGUAUAGGCUUUCAUUUGCGACGCCUCGACACUCUCUCCGACUUUUGAUUAUAAGCCAAUAAAUAAAUAGAGGUGUAUUUUAAUACUUUUUUUUGUUUCAAUCUUACAAUUAAUUUAAUUGAUAUAAUUAUAAGGUCCGUUUUAACUAAUAGGAUUAUGAAUUAUCAAACGAAUCUUAUAUUGUGGAAUCUUAUAUUGAAACCAUGAAUAUGCAACCUCGAAAACUCCGGCAAGAGAUUGCAUGCGGGAACAUGAUUAGUCAAUCUCAAUAAUAAUGCGAAAAUAAAAUAAAUGACUCAAUCAAUUUUUAUAUAUUAAUGCGAUUCUCUAAAUUGUUCUUGAGGUAAUUUUAUUUUUAAAUAUAAAUUAAUCUUAUAACUUAUCUUUUUUAUAAUGUUUUUGGAUCAAAUUAUAUAAAAAAAUAAUUAUGGGGUUUGCAAAUUUGAUUAUUAGAUUUUGACUAUUUUUAUUUAAAAAAUAUUUUUAUAAACCAGGCAAAUAAAAAGCUUUUGAUUGUAAAUCAUGUAAGUGAUUAUGAUAGUUUAAAUUGAAAAAGAUAUAUAUAUAUAUUAUAAAUUUAAUUAUUUUUAUAAAAAAUAAUGAAAAAUAUAUCUAGAAACUUAAUUGAUUGUAUGUUUGAACAAAAUGAUAGAUAAUUUAUGUUUUAUAUAUAAACAAUGAAUAGUUUUGUGUUGUUUAAGUUGCAAUUGUGUUUUAAAUAAUAUUUUUUAAAAAUUUUAAAAAUAAAAUUUAUUUUAAUUUUUUAAUAUUAAAAAUAUUUUUUAAAAAAUAAAAAAAAAUUUAAAAAAUUUUAAAGACAAUAAAUAACAUUUUUUUAUUUUUAUAAAAAAAAGGUGGUUGGAGAUGAAUAAAUGUUAAGCGGUUGGUACAUUCACAUAUUAUAGAAAAAACAAAAAAAACGGUGUCGUUUUCUAAAAUGAAGGACACAUUGAAAGGAACACCACCCGAAGAUAAAAACAAGGAGUGUACACUCCCAAGACACAAAGACCAUCGAAUGGGACAAAGUUAAAGAGCAGCCACAAAACAAACGAAAGCGGUGCAGACCACACAGCUGGAACGGCACCCAAUAACUACAGUAACUAGAUGGAGUGAUAUAUAUAUAUAGGUCCCACGUUUCACUAACGGACCGCAUCAAGAUCCAACUACUACAUCAAAAAAGUCUCAGCUUCCCUUCUUUUUAUUUAUUUUACAUGCUAUCAAAUAUUUAAAAUGAGAAUAAAAAAACUGCGUGACUUGUUCUACCUAACCAUCCAAUAGGGAACUGAUCAUCCAAUCCAAAUGAUGAUCUAGUUGAAGAAAAUUUAACGAUGCCGUUGUGAAACAACAGACUAAUAAAAGAUUAAAUCGCAAAGAAAUCUAGGGAUUUAAAUGAAAAAGGUGACAACACACUGAUAUAUACUAACCCGUGAAAUAGACAACUCUGGUAAUGGAGAACACAACCAUGAGAUAACCUGAUUAGAUAAUUUGUCACUUUCCUUUUCUUUUCUUGUUCUUUUCCCGGUCAGGCCUUGAUAGGGUCUUAACAAGUUGUGGGUCCACUUAAAGAAUGUAGAUGAAACUUAAUAAAUAAAUAAAUAUUAAAAAAUAAAAUUAAAAAAAUAUUAGCUUAAAAAAACAUGGAAGCUGUAUAAAUAUCCUAGAUUGGCGUUAAUAGUUUAAACUCAGUCAAAAAAUCAUAAACUCGGGUUUAGUUAAGAAACUCAGUUUCCAGCCAGUUUAAUAUUAGAAGAUAAAAUUGUUAAAAAAAUCUAUUUUUUAAAAAAGUGUUAAAGAAAAAAAAUCACAAUAAAAAUAAUGAGGAUAAAAUCACAUCAGAAAAAAAAAUUGAAGGAUGAUGAAAAUAUAAAAAGAACUUAAAUUCUAAAAUCAUCUAAAAAAAUCAAUUAAAAUAAUGAGAGAAACAAUUAUGAAAGAUUAAAAAAAAUUAAAGGAAGAUGAAACUGAAAAAUAAAUAAAUAUUGAAGAAUUAAACUAAAAAAAUAUGUUUCUUAAAAAAGGGAAAAAACACAAUCAAACUCAUGCGAAUAUUUUAAACAUGAGUUAAUCCUCCAAACUCACAACCGGUUAAAUCUUAGACCCAUGUUUAAUCAAGAAGUUCAAUUCUUAACAAAUUUAAUAUGGAGUAUGAAAUGUAAAAAAAAAAAUUACCAAAGCAAAAAAAAUAGCCAAAAAAAUAAUUAGGAUAAAAUUAUACAAGAAAAAAAAUAAAAGGGGGAUAAAAUCGUAAAAAAGCUUCAAUUCAAGAAAUUGUUUAAAAUAAUAAAUCAAAAUUUAAAAAAAUGAUAAUCAAAUCUGAUAAAAAAAAUUUAAAAAUCAACUCUAAAUAUAAACCAUUUCAGUUAAAAAAAUAGUAAUAAAAAAAACUUGGAUUAAAUAUGAAUGAAAAAAAUUAAAGGAAUGGUUUGAAUUUUUGAAGAGACAUGCGCAGAAAUCAAGGCAGAGAAUAAAAAAAAUAAAAUAUCAGCACCAAACUAGAGAUCAUAAUGCAAAAUAUACCACCGUGAAAGAAAAAAACCAGCGAAACAAAUCUAAAAAUACAAAAAAAAAAAAUCAGCGUUCAACGCUAGAAUCUUCUACACUUUGGUGUUUGGCAUUGUGGUGGAAAAAUGCUUUUCAAAAAAUUCAAAAUUUUUUUUUUGCUUUAAGUUAAUAUGUUUUUGAUGUUUUCAAAUCAUUUUGAUGUGCUGAUCUCAAAAAUAAUUUUUAAAAAAUAAAAAAAUAUUAUUGACAUCUUUUCUAAAUGAAAAAUACUUUGAAAAAUAAUAACAACUACACUGCCAAACACGCAGUGAUGGGGAUGAAACAUUACACAUAUGCAACCUUUGUUUAGUAUUUUAUAUUUAAUAAAAGAAAAUAGAGUGAAAAUGCGAAACAAUCCCUAUACAACAAUUUAUCUAUCAUUGCUUUUUGAGGACAUAAUUGUCAAUUGCCUUUUCACUGCUCAAAUAAAAAGAAAAGUACCAAAAUUGACUGUGUUUAAAAAUUUAUUAUUUUUCUUCUUCCAAGGGUAAAUCAAUAAUUGAAUCGUGGUAAAAAUAAGAAAAAUUAACUGCAAACAAUUUUAUAACAACUAUAGACCAUAUCCAAAGAGUGAAUUACUCUAAGAAAAACAAGUUUAUAGAUGAUUUUUUAAAAUCAGAUAAAUACAUAAUUAUAUAUAUUGCAGCCUUUUAUUUUAUUUUUUGUUUUACACAUGCAUGGGCUGGAUAUUCCAUCAUAUUAGCCAGUUUAUCAGGGACACCACAUGGGUGUGUGUCGUUUUUCAAUCAAAAUCCCCUCAUUAUUAUUAAUUCGAUGGAUAUGGAUCAAAUAAUUUUAGAUUAAUUUUAAUUUACCUUGCUAAGAUCAGGGCUAAUUUAAUUUCUUUUUAUAAGAUGUCAAUUAAGUCAAUGUUGAACUUAUUCAUACACUAAGAGAGAGGCUGUAUUACAAAGUAUCAUGCAAUUUUAACUUCAACAAAAUAAAGUUUUCAUCGCAGAUAAUGGUAGAAUUCAUAUAUAAAAAUUACAAUUAAUUUUAUAAUCAAAUAAUAAAUUAUAACUGUUAAAUAAUAAAUGAUGCAGCAAAUCCUUAGCCAAGAAAUAAAUGAAGGUUCUCUUUUGGAUGCUCAUAAAAUUAUAUUAUUUAUGGAUAUCGUUUUCAAUAAAAGGAAGCCAGAAGCCAUGAAAACAGUGAACAGAAGCAAAAUCUUUCCCGACAUUAAAUCUCAUGAAUUGGGCAUGGUUAAACCAUAUACUAUACACACUCCAUGAUCCCUUCGAUCAGCAUUAUGAAGCGUGUUUUCAUGAAGCACUCUAUUUUUCAAACAAAAUAAUAGUGACAACUCGAGAAGUCACUAAGCUGACAAGCCAAAAAAAAUUGCCAAGAAAAGAGAGAGAGUAACUAGAAAGCAAUUGAAUAUAUAUAUAUAAUAAAUAGUUUUUAUAUUCAUUUUUUAUAUAUAAUUUUGAAUUAUUUUAAUACAUUAAUAUCAAAAAUAAUAUUUUAAAUAAAAAUUAUUUUAAAAAAUAAUUAUUAUCGUAAUAUUAAACAGUAUGAAAAUAAAACUAGUUUUGAAUGGCUACGAAACAAUUAUGAACCUAGAUGUAAUUGGUUCCGGUCUUCUAUUUUCUCUGGGUUUGGUUAUUUUACUCCAAUUAUCUUGUUGGAAUGUUAAAUCAAAUUAAUGCACGAGAUAAAAGCCGAUAUAUUUUAUGUAAAGAAAAAAUGAUGGGAGGGAUUUUUUUGACCUUAGUAUGGACGCCAUGAUUACGGGGCAUUAGUGGGUGGGAGGAUGGAAGUGAGGGCCACAAACGCCACUUCAAUUUUCAUCCUCAGAGGGGACGAUAUUAUGGAGGAAUCCCAUGAGAUGGUGCUUUCACACACAACGACAUCACAAGCCAGCCGACGAGCACCAUUUGUUUCAUCAAAGCUCCAACAUGUUUGAAAAACACAAAAGUAAAGCUAGUGGGUUUGGUUUUUCCUACCUAGUUAUUUCGUUCAAAUCAGACCAAGCCAGAAUUGUAGAGACUUGUCCAGCUAUGUUCUUACAGCACAUUUUUACGACUCCAGUUCAGUCCCGUUCCACACCAGAAACAAUCUAGGACAACCUGUCUGGGCUCUAAAAUCUUGAUAUACAGCCAUAAAUUAGGUAUAGUUAGCAGAUUGAUGGGGAACAAUCAAGGGAAUAUUUUGACACUCGAACUAACCCUAAGGUCACAGCAGGAUGUGGAGGAGAUUAACUAGAAGGAAAGAAACAAGCUGGUCAAUAUGAAUGGAAUCAAGCUUGCGACAGCCGAUCAUCUAGUCUAGUCAAGUGUAUUGACAUCAGCCUUGGAUUUUCCACAGAUCCUGUAGGAAAUAAAAUGGUAGAGCACGGUAGAAAUGCUGAUAAUAUAGAUCUUCAUGUCUAUUAUUGCUGCAUUGAUUCUAGAUGGAGCCGCACCUACAUAUUUUCCGGUCAGCAAGGUUGUAAUUUGCAAAGAACGUCUGAAUUCCAAUGUUCUAAUCUGACCAAAUGAGCGGUGAAGAGGCAGUGAAUCACCAAGCAUAAAAUCUCACAUUUGGUGGCAAAACCAUGGGUCACCUUGCUGCCAUGAACAGACCUUGCACUUUCCAAAUGGCCACAGUUUAAAAAUAUGAAACCCCAAUACAGAUCAGCUAUUUUGGGUUUGAUUUUAUAUAUUUAGAAUGCCACAACAUUUCGGGUAAGCUCAUCCCAUGCAGCUCGAUAUACAAGGCCUGUUUAGUUAAUUUUUUCUUAGCUAAGGCCCACAUAGGCUCCAUAGAAACCAAAGCCCAAAUACGAUUCAUUGGUGUUCGAAAGGCAGUAGAAAACUAGCCAAGUACUAGCAGGUGUUGGAUUUUAAUGUAAGACAAGAAUGUGCAUGCAUUGUGAAAAUAUUUCUUGGUAUCAUAAGAAAUCUUGAUUCCCUAAUCAGAAAUUAAUGCAUGCUUUUAUAAGAUAAACUAAAAAUUAUAUGAACUGAUAAAUUAUAAAAAUUGUUAAUGCUAGCUAAAAACUAAACUGAGAAGUUUAAAUAUAGAUGCAAACAAAGAUAUUUGAUUUCAUGACAUGAAACGCUAUUUGAUUUUUAUUUAUUUAAUUAUAUGAUAAUCACAAUAAAUUUUAAUAAUUAAAAUUUCAUAUAAAAAUUAUAAUUGUUAAUAUAAAUUCUUCAUACAUGAAAUCUUCAUCUCAUAUGACUCCUCGUUUAAUUCUUUUUUAAGUUAUUGGAUCUUUUUUAUCGGUCGAGAAUCUCCUUCCUUUAUCCACUUAGUCCUCGAGGUGUAAUUAGGACAAAUUGAAUCACGUUUUGAAGAUACAAUUGAAUAUUUUCCCUUUUCUUUUAUAAUUAUUUCAAAGAAGAAGAUUCUUUUUUUUUUUACCAAACAUAUAAGGAUCCAAUCAUGAUCUUAUAAUAAGAAUAAGAACAAGAGAUAUUUUUCGAUCAACCCUUUGCCCCUCAUUUUUUGAAAAUCAGAAACAUUUUGUUAAGUUUGAUUUUGUUUAUUUGAAAUACGGGCUCUUCUAUAUUUUUUUUAUUAUUUCCUUAUUUUUUAAUCCAUUUAUAUCAUUCUUUAAGUCCUAUAGGUUUGAUCAUGUAAAAUCUUACCUAUUUUUUCAUGGAGCGAAGGGUACAAAAUAAAUCAAAUUGAUUUUCGAUCAAAAGUAUUGUGUGAAAUAUUUUGUUUUUUUCUCUUUCACUACCCCUAUCUUAUAGGAAUAAUGUUUGAAUCAAUAUAGAACCUUUUUUUUCUUUAUCUAUAUGAAUCAAUAUUAUCAUAUUCCAAUUCUUUCCUGACAUGUCCCAAAGGGAAUCUUGAAUUGGAUCCUAAAUUGACAGGUUUGUGUGGAUUCAUGUGAACUUAUCUAUACAAUUAUACACUUUUUGAAUAUGAAUCCAUUUUCUAAAAGAUCCUAACUUUCAUGCUUUAAUGGGUCUUCAAGAUCUUCUGAAUGAUUUAUAUUGUGUUAAAAUGAUAUUUAUAUGACAUGGUAGCAAUGAAACUAGGGAAAGUAUAGAGAAGAGAUAUUUUUUUAUAAAUUUAAUUAGUAUUGGAUUAUGACUCAUUAAUAUUAGAUUAGUUUUAGUUAGUGAUGAUACUUAGUGAGUUUUUUCUUCCAAGAUGAACUAUUGGUACAAGUCCUACAUUUUAUCUCUGUAGAUCGAGGAGAAAAAGGCUUGGCGAGAAGAGGAUUGUACCAUGACAGAAGCAAGAGGUUAGCCUAUUUAAAGUAUUCAACAUGAAAUCUAGAAAUUUAAUGGAGUUGGACUCUCAUGUCAAUCCUAAUGAAUCGUUCUUUCCAUUCGGGAUAUAUAUGUAUUUUACUUAUAUUAUUAUGAAAUUCAUAAAUGAAAUAGUUAGUAAAUAAAAUAAAAUAAUUAAGAGUGAGGUUACUAUUAUUAUUUUUGUAGUGAUGGAUCUUAUAUGUGUUUCUAAAAAUGAAAUUUGUUAAUUUUCAGAGUUUUAAAAGGGCUUAGAAACAUAUAAGAACACUUCAAUGGAAAUUAAAAAGAUACGCAACUCCAAUUCUUUUGAAAAUGAUAAGAUCUUUGGCGCAAAAAAAAGGAUUGAUUCAUAUCAUAUCGACUUGGCUAUGAUUUUUCUAUUUUUUAAAGAAUAUUGAUUUAAUAAUACCUAGUCGGGGUAUUGUCCUACUUGUAUCAAAUAAAAUAUGUUAAGUCAAAUCUUCUUCAUAUAAAACUUGCUUAAUUUAGAUAAAAAAAAUCAUAUACUUAAUAUAAACUCUUCAUAUAUGAAAUCUUCACCUCAUACGACUCCUUGUUUAAUUCUUUUUGAAGUUAUUGAACCUUUUUUAUCGGUCAAGAAUCUUCUCCCUUCAUCCACUAGUCCUCGAAGUGUAAUUAGGACAAAUUGAAUAUUUUUCCUUUUCUUUUAUAAUUAUUUUCAAAGAAGAAGAUUUUUUUUUUUACCAAACAUACGAGAAUCCAAUCAUGAUCUUAUAAUAAGAACAAGAACAAGAGAUAUUUUUUGAUCAACCCCUUUUCCCCUUAUUCUUCGAGAAUCAUAACAUUUUGUCAAGUUUGAUUUUGUUUAUUUGAAAUAUGGGCUCUUCUUUAUUUAUUUAUUAUUUCCUUUAUUUUUUAAUUCACUUAUAUCAUUCUUUAAGUCCUAUAGGUUUGAUCAUGUAAAAUCUUACUUAUUGUUUUAUGUACUCCUUGCAAGAAUCUUUUCCUUGGCACACAACCUCCCCUUCUUCCUCACUCUUUAAUGGUUCCUCGCUUUUAGUUGGUUCUUCAGGAUUGGUUAUUAUUGCCCCAAAUAUAGAAGCUUCCUCCUCCUUCGGGUUCACCUGCUGCUGAACCUUAGGUUCCACUGUGGCUGGCACAUUCUGCUGAUCACCCAUUGUUUUCUCAUCGGAUGAUUCUGUAUCAUUUUGCAACUUAUGAAUAAUCGUGUUGCUGUCAAAUUUCAAAAUGUAGGCCUGAUUGCAUCCCUCAUAGAGCCUCUCUCCUA
RNAcentral lists this long non-coding RNA (21667 nucleotides) under Populus tremula. RNAcentral's name for it is "long non-coding RNA (PTRE_LNC002506)". The record is from RNAcentral. Lineage: Eukaryota; Viridiplantae; Streptophyta; Magnoliopsida; Malpighiales; Salicaceae.